Molecule: long non-coding RNA, 174 nt
Organism: Dermochelys coriacea (leatherback sea turtle)
Lineage: Eukaryota; Metazoa; Chordata; Testudines; Dermochelyidae
Exons: 3
Source: RefSeq, a predicted model, not a curated record
CCACCUCCCUAGCAGAGUUGCUAACUUUCACACGGUAAAUAAGCAUCCUGACUUUCACAAUAAGCCAAAAAUCAAGCUAAUCCCAUUUCAAAACAAGGCCAAAACAAGCCAAUCCCUAAGAACCCCAACACUGUAUGUGACUAGAGCCCCCCGACGUGCAGUCUGAGAACGUGG